CCUACGGGUGGCUGCAGUGAGGAAUAUUGGUCAUUGGGCGCGAGCCUGAACCAGCCAAGUCGCGUGAGGGAGGACGGCCCUACGGGUUGUAAACCUCUUUUGCCGGGGAGCAACGGGCGCCACGUGUGGCGUCACUGAGAGUACCCGGCGAAAAAGCAUCGGCUAACUCCGUGCCAGCAGCCGCGGUAUUACGGAGGGUGCGAGCGUUAUCCGGAUUUAUUGGGUUAAAGGGGUGCGUAGGCGGAUAGUUAAGUCAGUGGUCAAAUUGCGGGGCUCAACCGGUUCUCGCCAUUGAAACUGGUGUGCUAGAGUGGAAGAGAAGUAUGUGGAAUGCGUGGUGUAGCGGUGAAAUGCAUAGAUAUCACGCAGAAACCCGAUUGCGAAGGCAGCAUGCCGG
RNAcentral lists this ribosomal RNA (397 nucleotides) under uncultured bacterium. RNAcentral's name for it is "partial 16S ribosomal RNA". It matches the Rfam family "Bacterial small subunit ribosomal RNA", at positions 338 to 732 of the family's 1533-position model. The record is from RNAcentral.